GUCGCGGUAAACUAGUGGUCAUGGUGACGGACUCGCGUUCCGUUGAGUCGAGGUUCGAGCCUUGAUGCGGCU
This is a non-coding RNA of Nephila pilipes (giant wood spider), 72 nucleotides long. NCBI's taxonomy places the organism in Eukaryota, Metazoa, Arthropoda, Arachnida, Araneae, Nephilidae. The record is from the annotation of a GenBank genome assembly.